GACGAACGCUGGCGGCGUGCCUAAUACAUGCAAGUCGAACGCAGUGGGGACGGGUGAGUAACACGUGGGUAACCUCCCAUCAGAGGGGAUAACACUUGGAAACAGGUGCUAAACCGAUACUGAUGGAUGGACCCGCGGUGCAUUAGCUAGUUGGUGGGGUAACGGCUCACCAAGGCCGAGAUGCAUAACCUACCUGGGAGGGUUAUCGGCCACACGUGGACCGGAACCCGGCCCAGACUCCUUCGGGAGGCAGGAGUAGGGGAUCUUCGGCAAAUGGGGGAACCCUGACCGAGCAACGCCGCGGGAGUGAAGAAGGUUUUCGGAUCGUAAAGCUCUGUUGUUAAGGAAGCGGUACUUAACCAGAAAGGGACGGCUAACUACGUGCCAGCAGCCGCGGUAAUAC
Molecule: ribosomal RNA, 403 nt
Filed under: uncultured bacterium
Lineage: Bacteria
Description: partial 16S ribosomal RNA
Rfam family: Bacterial small subunit ribosomal RNA
Source: RNAcentral